Molecule: unclassified non-coding RNA, 415 nt
Filed under: soil metagenome
Description: partial contains 5.8S ribosomal RNA, internal transcribed spacer 2, and large subunit ribosomal RNA
Rfam family: 5.8S ribosomal RNA (bases 1-120)
Source: RNAcentral
GAUGAAGAACGUAGCGAAAUGCGAUAAGUAAUGUGAAUUGCAGAAUUCAGUGAAUCAUCGAAUCUUUGAACGCACCUUGCACUCCUUGGUAUUCCGAGGAGUACGCCUGUUUGAGUGUUAUGAAGCUCUCAAAACGCAAUUGGCUUAAAACCUGAUUGUUGUUUUGGAUUUGAACUUUGCCGUGUUAUAACGGCUGGUUUUAAAAGUAUUAGCUGGUACUAGAACGAAUUGGUUCUACUCAACGUGAUAAUUAUCUGAUCGUUGAGGACAUUCCUUUCACGAGGAAUGGCCAUAGUAAAUUCAAUGGACUGCUUCUAAUCUGGCUUUAAUUCUUUAUUGGAUUAACCACUUUUCAAAUCUGACCUCGAAUCAGGUGGGACUACCCGCUGAACUUAAGCAUACAAUAAGCGGAGGA